GGGUGAUUAAGAUCAUAAUAAGUCACUAAGUUUCAUUCUCAGGAAGACAGUGUAGAAAAGAAAUUGAUUUAGUGUGGUCCAAACAAUAAUUAUCUUAGAUUUUGCAUCAUCCUGCAUUUUUGGCUUAUCAAGAAAAUCCCUUACAAAAAUCACGGAACAAAGUAUAUUCAUCUUAUUGUUGAAUUUUGAGUUAGUGGGCUCAUGUUUACCACACAAUGCAUGAUAAUGAAAAAAAAUUCAUCGCAGUGACAGAUUCACAGUUCGGGUCAUAAUGCAUUUUACUCUGACGCCAUCGUCUAAUGGAGGCAUCCAUUCCUUACAAAACUUAUGAAAUAUU
Molecule: long non-coding RNA, 337 nt
Filed under: Trifolium pratense (red clover)
Lineage: Eukaryota; Viridiplantae; Streptophyta; Magnoliopsida; Fabales; Fabaceae
Description: long non-coding RNA (TPRA_LNC011390)
Source: RNAcentral